RNAcentral lists this ribosomal RNA (253 nucleotides) under uncultured prokaryote. RNAcentral describes it as "partial 16S ribosomal RNA". It matches the Rfam family "Bacterial small subunit ribosomal RNA", at positions 524 to 776 of the family's 1533-position model. The record is from RNAcentral.
UACGUAGGAAGCAAGCGUUGUUCGGAAUUACUGGGCGUAAAGAGUGUGUAGGCGGUGCUCUAAGUCUGUUGUGAAAUCUCCCGGCUUAACUGGGAGGGUGCAGCGGAAACUGGAAUGCUCGAGUAUGGGAGAGGUAAGCGGAAUUCCUGGUGUAGCGGUGAAAUGCGUAGAUAUCAGGAGGAACACCUGUGGUGUAGACAGCUUACUGGACCAUCACUGACGCUGAGACACGAAAGCGUGGGUAGCAAACAGG